RNAcentral lists this ribosomal RNA (229 nucleotides) under uncultured bacterium. RNAcentral's name for it is "partial 16S ribosomal RNA". It matches the Rfam family "Bacterial small subunit ribosomal RNA", at positions 568 to 796 of the family's 1533-position model. The record is from RNAcentral.
CGCGUAGGCGGUCUCUUAAGUCAGAUGUGAAAGCCCGGGGCUUAACCCCGGAAGUGCAUUUGAAACUAAGGGACUUGAGUAUGGGAGAGGGAAGUGGAAUUCCUGGUGUAGAGGUGAAAUUCGUAGAUAUCAGGAGGAACACCGGUGGCGAAGGCGACUUCCUGGACCAAUACUGACGCUGAGGCGCGAAUGCGUGGGGAGCAAACAGGAUUAGAUACCCUGGUAGUCC